UCAGAAACUUAAAGGAAGUUAGACGGGGCCCGGCGACAAGCGGUGGAGUAUGUGGUUAAUUCGAUGCAACGCGAAGAACCUUACCUGGUCUUGACAUCCCGAGACCCUUAGGAAACUAGGGGUGCUCUAUCUGGAAGAAUCUGGAGACAGGUGCUGCAUGGCUGUCGUCAGCUCGUGUCGUGAGAUGUUGGGUUAAGUCCCGCAACGAGCGCAACCCUUGCCUUUAGUUGCCAGCAGUUCGGCUGGGCACUCUAAAGGGACUGCCGGUGUUAAACCGGAGGAAGGUGGGGAUGACGUCAAGUCCUCAUGGCCUUUAUGACCAGGGCUACACACGUACUACAAUGGCCGAUACAAAGGGCAGCGACACUGCGAGGUGAAGCCAAUCCCGUAAAAUCGGUCUCAGUCCGGAUUGGAGUCUGCAACUCGACUCCAUGAAGUUGGAAUCGCUAGUAAUCGUGGAUCAGCAUGCCACGGUGAAUACGUUCCCGGGCCUU
Molecule: ribosomal RNA, 494 nt
Filed under: uncultured Desulfobulbus sp.
Lineage: Bacteria; Pseudomonadati; Thermodesulfobacteriota; Desulfobulbia; Desulfobulbales; Desulfobulbaceae
Description: bacterial SSU rRNA
Rfam family: Bacterial small subunit ribosomal RNA
Source: RNAcentral